AUAUAUAUCAAGUUUCAUUAUAUAUAUAUAUCAACUUUCAUUAUAUAUAUAUCAAGUUUCAUUAUAUAUAUAUCGACUUUCAUUAUAUAUAUAUCAACUUUCAUUAUAUAUAUAUCAAAUCUUUUUUUCCUACCGAGCCCCGGAAGGGACAUGUCCGUAUGGCGAAGCGACAACGAAGGACACUCACCCGGACGAGAAUUUUAUUGAGUUUUAUUUUAAAAUCGGCCUGAAACACACAGACAUUCAAGCAGUGCGAUGCGCUAAGAGUCUGCCAUGCAGACCAGCGAUCCUGAUAAUGUUGUUGGCCUUGGAUGAUGAGGUCCAGUUACCAGGAGCACUAGUCUGCAGCUUACUGGUUCCGUCUUGCAGCUCCUCCACGCUGUCCUCCUCUCUACCGACCAAAUCAAGGAACCAGGAAGCUGCUGUGGAUCCUCUGCAGUAUCUGGAGAGGUCAGAGGAACGGUUCUUGGAACAGAUCGGAAGACACCAAGACGUGACCUCUGCCAUGCUCCAGAAC
Molecule: long non-coding RNA, 517 nt
Organism: Acanthochromis polyacanthus (spiny chromis)
Lineage: Eukaryota; Metazoa; Chordata; Actinopteri; Pomacentridae
Exons: 3
Source: RefSeq, a predicted model, not a curated record